Long non-coding RNA from Pseudophryne corroboree (corroboree frog), 1214 nucleotides. RefSeq lists it as uncharacterized. The record is from RefSeq and is a predicted model, not a curated record. NCBI's taxonomy places the organism in Eukaryota, Metazoa, Chordata, Amphibia, Anura, Myobatrachidae. The transcript has 3 exons.
GAAAACAGCUGUGCUCCUGUCCUGUCACCUCAGCAGGGAGCAGGGUGCUGUGGUUACCUGAUUUACAGCAUGGAAGGAUCAAGAGCCUGCCCCUUGUUAAGUCCUGUCUGAGUGAACUGCUCUGAGAAGGGAAGUCGACAGUGAUCAGCUGAAUGGGCAGUGCUAUGUCUGGGGGAGCAGCAGAGCUGUAAAUACAGACAUCCAGGUAAAGGAAUAGUGGGUAGCAGUAAACUAGCCACAGAAAGCUGGAUCAGAAGGCAGAUUUAGAAGUGACAGCUACCCAGAAACAGGAGAGGAGGUCAGGCUGAAGAGACAUUGAACACAGGCUGCAGUUCCUGGAUGUUUUCAGCCCACACAGAGGAUCCAGCUACUUAGUUGACGUGCAACCUCACAGGGAGAUAGACGUGCGCAAACGUCAAAAAGGUUUUUCUUAAAAAUGGAUCGCGAGGAACAUGAAAGGCAACGUAUUUGAUCUUUUUUAGAGGUAUCUGAUUCAGAAAGAGAAUCGGAGAUUUCCUUGGAGAGUCUUCUGAGGAGCCACCAGCAAAAGUUCAAGGUGGACGGAAAAGAUAUCAAGUUUGUUCUGCUAAAAAAGAUCGCAAGACCACCGCAAGACCACCCACACAUGCACAAUCUGUAACAAGUUUAUUUGCCCCGAACAUAUUGUUCCAUACUGCAGCAAGUGUGCUGAUAUGCUGCAAGAAAGUGAUUAGUAUAAAGGUGGGUACACACUAAUAGAUAUAUCUGCAGAUCAAUUGAUCUGCAGAUAUAUCUAUGUACGGAUCGAGCAGUGUGCUGUGCAUACACACUGCCCGAUCCGUCGGGGGACUGACGUCCAGUUCAGCUGUCAAUCACCGCCGGCCGCCGCAGCAUGUGUACGGGCGGUCGGACGACCGCCCCGUACACACACAGCGACGCGCCAAUAUAUCGUUAGAUAUAUUGGCCGUCGGCUGUGCUACGCGGCCGACGCGAUACGUCUGUGAACGACGGAGUUCACAGACGUAUCGGCCGUACACACUGGCCGACGGUCCCGCGAUAUAUCGGCCGUUCAAGAGAACGGCCGAUAUAUCGACCAGUGUGUACGGGCAAUAAGACUGCAUUUAUUUCCCAAAGAUCUCGUAUUCACUUACACCAAAACGUAAAAUUUAUGUCAAAAAGUUUACUUUUAUCUGGUUUAAUAACAGUGAGACUAAGGAUGUCUAUUUUUGUUAAUU